RNAcentral lists this ribosomal RNA (440 nucleotides) under uncultured bacterium. Its description in RNAcentral is "bacterial SSU rRNA". It matches the Rfam family "Bacterial small subunit ribosomal RNA", at positions 338 to 775 of the family's 1533-position model. The record is from RNAcentral.
CCUACGGGAGGCAGCAGUGAGGAAUAUUGGUCAAUGGGCGCAAGCCUGAACCAGCCAUGCCGCGUGCAGGAUGACUGCCCUAUGGGUUGUAAACUGCUUUUGUACGGGAAGAAACACCUCUACGUGUAGAGGCUUGACGGUACCGUAAGAAUAAGGAUCGGCUAACUCCGUGCCAGCAGCCGCGGUAAUACGGAGGAUCCAAGCGUUAUCCGGAAUCAUUGGGUUUAAAGGGUCCGUAGGCGGCCUUAUAAGUCAGUGGUGAAAUCCGGCAGCUUAACUGUCGAACUGCCAUUGAUACUGUAGGGCUUGAAUUACUGUGAAGUAACUAGAAUAUGUAGUGUAGCGGUGAAAUGCUUAGAUAUUACAUGGAAUACCAAUUGCGAAGGCAGGUUACUAACAUUAUAUUGACGCUGAUGGACGAAAGCGUGGGUAGCGAACAG